AGGCAAUAUCCUUUCGGUUGCUGGCAUUAGCCUAGCUAGCCUGCUACGUCCUGUGCGCGUGCACGACGACCACCGUUUCUGACUGAGGACCUUGGUGGCGCAAUGAUGGAACGUCUCGGACGUUAUGGACUGAUGACACGGAGACGGGACGACGUUAUUAUUCCUCCUUUAUUGGGCAUCCACCAACACAGACAGCUGCUCCUCUCAGCUCAGCAGCUCGGACGUCAACAACAACGGUUCCCGUCAACCACCCGUAACUUCCGUUUUCCGACAGGUUAACCCCGCCUCCCCUCUACUCCGCCAAUCACAGGCACGCCUCCCCUCUACUCCGCCAAUCACAGGCACGCCCCCUCGACCAGCACCCACGGUGCCACACUGUGAUUGACAGCCACUUCCAGUGUUGCCAGGUCCGCGGUUUUUGCCGCUGGUUGAAUUUUGUGUCCGCUGGUUCGGGUAGACCUAUUUUGCAUGCAAAUUACAUGAAUAUCUUUAAAUAAAAAUCCAUAUUUUAAAUGAAAUAAUUUAUUUAUACCCAAAUCCUAUCAAACUGACUCCAGAUCAGCACGUACACGCCUCACUAGCACCCCCCCCCUCAAUUAUAUGCAGCACCUCAAGGCACCUUUGUUUUCUCUUUUAAUUAGUGUUAAUACUGUGUAGGCAAAUCACUUUUAUUUCAUUGGGCCUAAUGUGGUAAAAAAAAAACACUGUUAAAUCACUGAGACAGUUAUUUUGUAUAAAGUUAACUAAAAAAGGGACUUUUGUACUCCUGCUUGAUUUGAAGGCCUGUUGCCCUGUUGAUUGCAAUAAAUAGGUCUACAACAUG
Pseudoliparis swirei is the source of this 823-nucleotide long non-coding RNA. RefSeq lists it as uncharacterized. Lineage: Eukaryota; Metazoa; Chordata; Actinopteri; Perciformes; Liparidae. The record is from RefSeq and is a predicted model, not a curated record. The transcript has 2 exons.